UGGGACAUGAAUAUAGAUACCCCAUCUGCA
RNAcentral lists this non-coding RNA (30 nucleotides) under Mus musculus (house mouse). Lineage: Eukaryota; Metazoa; Chordata; Mammalia; Rodentia; Muridae. The record is from RNAcentral.